This 80-nucleotide transfer RNA is filed under the name Triticum aestivum (bread wheat). RNAcentral describes it as "tRNA_PseudoCAT". Lineage: Eukaryota; Viridiplantae; Streptophyta; Magnoliopsida; Poales; Poaceae. The record is from RNAcentral.
GCAUGGCGCAGUUGGCUAGCGCGUAGCUCUCAUAGCUAAAGCGAAUGAUCCUGAGGUCGAGAGUUCGAGCCUCUCUCGCC